Molecule: long non-coding RNA, 249 nt
Organism: Pseudophryne corroboree (corroboree frog)
Lineage: Eukaryota; Metazoa; Chordata; Amphibia; Anura; Myobatrachidae
Exons: 3
Source: RefSeq, a predicted model, not a curated record
ACUCACUGACACAUGAGACACAUUGAGCAGAAGAUCCUGGAACUCACCAACAAGAUCAUUCAGCUGCUGACUGGAGAGGAGGGGGAGUAUAUAGAGGAACACAGGGGUCUGUACAAGGACGUGAUGAUGGAGAAUCACCGGCCCCUCACAUCACUGGAUGGGCCCAGUAACAGAGAUACCCCAGAGAGAUGUCCCCGUCCUCUGUAUUCCCAGGAUUGUACAGAGGAGAAUCACAGGAUCCCACAGGAG